AGCGAACGCUGGCGGCAGGCCUAACACAUGCAAGUCGAACGAACCUUUCGGGGUUAGUGGCGGACGGGUGAGUAACACGUGGGAACGUGCCUUUAGGUUCGGAAUAACUCAGGGAAACUUGUGCUAAUACCGAAUGUGCCCUUCGGGGGAAAGAUUAAUCGCCUUUAGAGCGGCCCGCGUCUGAUUAGUUAGUUGGUUGAGGUAAUGGCUCACCAAGGCGACGAUCAGUAGCUGGUCUGAGAGGAUGAUCAGCCACAUUGGGACUGAGACACGGCCCAAACUCCUACGGGAGGCAGCAGUGGGGAAUCUUGCGCAAUGGGCGAAAGCCUGACGCAGCCAUGCCGCGUGAAUGAUGAAGGUCUUAGGAUUGUAAAAUUCUUUCACCGGGGACGAUAAUGACGGUACCCGGAGAAGAAGCCCCGGCGAACUUCGU
RNAcentral lists this ribosomal RNA (433 nucleotides) under uncultured bacterium. Its description in RNAcentral is "partial 16S ribosomal RNA". It matches the Rfam family "Bacterial small subunit ribosomal RNA", at positions 29 to 506 of the family's 1533-position model. The record is from RNAcentral.